GCCCUCGUAGCUCAGGGGAUAGAGCGUCUGCCUCCGGAGCAGAAGGUCGUUGGUUCGAUUCCAAUCGAGGGCACAA
This 76-nucleotide transfer RNA is filed under the name Arthrobacter oryzae. RNAcentral's name for it is "tRNA-Arg". It matches the Rfam family "tRNA". Rfam says of the family: Transfer RNA (tRNA) molecules are approximately 80 nucleotides in length. Their secondary structure includes four short double-helical elements and three loops (D, anti-codon, and T loops). The record is from RNAcentral. RNAcentral also lists the same sequence under 3 other names. Lineage: Bacteria; Bacillati; Actinomycetota; Actinomycetes; Micrococcales; Micrococcaceae.